AUUCAAUCUUUUUAUAAAUUAAUUUCAAUUUUUGAAUUUCCCUCGAGAAAUUAGUAAAGAUUUAUCCCAAACCCUUUCCGCGCUUUCUUUAUUACCUCCGUUGUGCCUCUGAUCCUAACUUCCACCAUCGCGCCCUGUCGCUGUUGAGAGCCUUCCCGUCUUUCCCUCUGUUCGGACGUAUUUUCAUCGUCGUCGUUAAAGCUUCAAUUAUCGCCUCUUAAUAGCUAUAUCACAUGGUGGAGAACCAUGCAUUUUAAGAGAAUUAGCUGAUAACGUUAAAAAAAGAAAAAGCAUAACAAUACUAAAAAUUGACGUCGCCUGAGAGAUUCGAACUCUCGCGGGGAAACCCCAUGUACUUAGCAGGCACACGCCUUAACCACUCGGCCAAAGCGACUUUGUUGGGACUUUGGAGGCGUCGUUUGCAGGUGGAGAAUGUGUAAAUUCAGUUCAUGGGGGAUUAGCAUGCUGCUAAUGUUGUUAGGAUCACUGGAAGGUAGGAUAAUUGUUGUGGAUUUCUCGCUGGUGACAGAUUUUCGAGAAUUGCAGGCAGUGAGGAAAACACUUGCAAUCGUGGCGGCUAUUUGAAUUUCAUGCAUUUUAAGAGAAUUAACUGUUAAUGUUUUGUCUUCUUUUUUUUUGUCAGAAAAAAAAAACAUAAAGAUAUUAGAAAAUGACGUCGCCUGAGAGAUUCGAACUCUCGCGGGGAAACCCCAUGUACUUAGCAGGCACACGCCUUAACCACUCGGCCAAAGCGACUUUGUUGGGACUUUGGUGUCAAUGAUUUUGUGGUUUUGUUGAAGGAGGUGUUUAUUUGUUAUAUGUGUUUUGUGGACUUUCGGUCUGGCUAGAUAUGUAUACUUAUCUUCAAGUGGAGCAUCUUGUGAUGGGGAUGACACUCCCGCCUUAACUAUAAGAAAUAAACCAUGUUGAUCUUCUACUAUGAGAUAGUUCCAGAAAUAUAUGUCAUAUGAUGAUUUAAGGGUUAGUUGGCUUAACAUCCUGACGAGAAGAAAAAUUACCGAUCAAGGAUCGUCAAGUGUUCACUUCAAACAGUUCUAUAAAGAAAGACAUUGCAUAACAGUGAAAUUGCAUGGCUGAAAUUCAGUCUACGAAAACACCAUCCACUGAGCAAUAUUAAAAAUGACGUCGCCUGAGAGAUUCAAACUCUCACGGGGAAACCCCAUGUACUUUGCAGGCACACGCCUUAAUCACUCAGCCAAAGCGACUUUGUUGAGGCUUUGGUGUUAAGGAUUUUGUCGUUUUGCUGAAGGAGGUGUUUAUUUGUUACAUGUGUUUCGGUAAGCAUUCACAAAUUCAGAUGAUUCUUUAUGUGAAUUUCAUUCGACAUGUACCUUUUUUUUUUGUUUAAUCUUUGAAACAAGGUGGUUUAUAGCUUGGUUGCAGGUUAGGAUUAUAAUUCAUCUUCUUGAGCGAUAUUUUGUUAUCGAUGUUCUUCUCUCUGUCAUAAAUCAAAUUGCUUAUUGUCUGUUUUUUUAUCAGACAACUAUUGCAGCAGUAAGUGUGGGUUAGGGACUUUGAAAGACAGGUUUUUUAGUUUAACUUUCAAAAAACACUAUAUUAAAGUAUGCAGACACCAAAGCCUCCUUAGACUGUCCUAUUUUGAUACUUUGACAACGUCCCUUCUUAAUUAAUCACUUUUUGUUGAAAUUUAAUUGCCUACUUCAGUGUUAUUGUAUUUUUGCUCUGGUUAUUCAUUGACGUCAUGUAUAGUGAUAAAGCUUUCGUUUUCCUUUAGUACAGUUUUUCCUUUUCUUCUGUGCUUGUGUGCCAUUUAUUGGUUCUGGUGCUACUUGUGAGUGAAUAAAUCUGCUUCUUUUUUGUUCUCUCUCGAGUAAUGAUGAUUUAAGGGUUAGCUGGCUUAACAUCCUGAUGAGAAGAAAGUUACCAAUCAAGGAUUUCAAGUGUUCGCCUCAACCAGUUCUAUAGAAACGACAUUGCAUGACAGUGGAAUUGCAUGGCUGAAAUUCAGUGUAAGAAAACACCAACCACUAAAAGUGUCUUAUUCUUUUAUCGCAAACAUUUACCAUUUCUUUGUUACUUUUCUUAAAUUCUGCAGGGAAAAAAAAUCUUGAAUUGGUUAUUUUAAGAAUUUGUUUAAAAAGGCCACUUUUUUUUAAAUAAUUGAUUUAAAUAGUGAUAUUUGAAAUUGUUUAUUGUAAUAUUUUUUUGAAAAGUCACAUUUUAAAUUAGUAAAAAGCCAAUGUAAAAACGAAUUUUUAUGGCUAUUUUCUUAUGAUCAUCAAUGUAAAAAUUCUGAAAUAGUUAAUGUAAAAUGAGCAUUUUUUUUUAUAGUAUCAAUGAAUUAGACAUUAUUAACUAGUUUGAAUAAACAAGAGAUUAAAAGUAUAAUUUACUAAAAAAAUUAAGCGUAGUUGUGACCUCAUACUAAAAUCAUAAGUCAUUGGAUUCAACUUGUUUAAAUCAUUAGUUAACGUUAACUGUUGAUAAAAAAGGAGUAUACCAUUGCGGACAAUAAAAUAAAUAUAAAAACCGAAAAUACUAAGAAAUAUCGUCUAGAGACCAAAAUAAAAAAUGUAGAAAUAAGAACCAAAA
Long non-coding RNA from Vigna unguiculata (cowpea), 2574 nucleotides. RefSeq lists it as uncharacterized. The record is from RefSeq and is a predicted model, not a curated record. Lineage: Eukaryota; Viridiplantae; Streptophyta; Magnoliopsida; Fabales; Fabaceae.